Molecule: ribosomal RNA, 1270 nt
Filed under: Enterococcus hirae
Lineage: Bacteria; Bacillati; Bacillota; Bacilli; Lactobacillales; Enterococcaceae
Description: partial 23S ribosomal RNA
Rfam family: Bacterial large subunit ribosomal RNA
Source: RNAcentral
CACGGUGGAUGCCUUGGCACUAGGAGCCGAUGAAGGACGGGACUAACACCGAUAUGCUUUGGGGAGCUGUACGUAAGCUAUGAUCCAGAGAUUUCCGAAUGGGGGAACCCAGCAUCUUUUAUAGGAUGUUACGUUUGCGUGAAUACAUAGCGCAUUCGAGGUAGACGCAGAGAACUGAAACAUCUAAGUACCUGCAGGAAGAGAAAGAAAAUUCGAUUCCCUGAGUAGCGGCGAGCGAAACGGGAAAAGCCCAAACCAAUGAGCUUGCUCAUUGGGGUUGUAGGACUCCAAUAUGGUAGUUCUUUCAGAUAGUCGAAUGACUUGGAAAAGUCAGUCAAAGAGGGUAAAAACCCCGUAGAUGAAAUUUGGAAGGCACCUAGGAGGAUCCUGAGUACGGCGGAACACGAGGAAUUCCGUCGGAAUCCGGGAGGACCAUCUCCCAAGGCUAAAUACUCCCUAGUGACCGAUAGUGAACCAGUACCGUGAGGGAAAGGUGAAAAGCACCCCGGAAGGGGAGUGAAAUAGAACCUGAAACCGUGUGCCUACAACAAGUCAAAGCCCGUUAAUGGGUGAUGGCGUGCCUUUUGUAGAAUGAACCGGCGAGUUACGAUUGCAUGCGAGGUUAAGUUGAAGAGACGGAGCCGCAGCGAAAGCGAGUCUGAAUAGGGCGUUUGAGUAUGUAGUCGUAGACCCGAAACCAUGUGAUCUACCCAUGUCCAGGUUGAAGGUGCGGUAAAACGCACUGGAGGACCGAACCCACGUACGUUGAAAAGUGCGGGGAUGAGGUGUGGGUAGCGGAGAAAUUCCAAACGAACUUGGAGAUAGCUGGUUCUCUCCGAAAUAGCUUUAGGGCUAGCCUCGGAAUUGAGAAUGAUGGAGGUAGAGCACUGUUUGGACUAGGGGCCCAUCUCGGGUUACCGAAUUCAGAUAAACUCCGAAUGCCAUUCAUUCAUAUCCGGGAGUCAGACUGUGAGUGAUAAGAUCCAUAGUCGAAAGGGAAACAGCCCAGACCACCAGCUAAGGUCCCAAAAUAUAUGUUAAGUGGAAAAGGAUGUGGGGUUGCACAGACAACUAGGAUGUUGGCUUAGAAGCAGCCACCAUUUAAAGAGUGCGUAAUAGCUCACUAGUCGAGUGACCCUGCGCCGAAAAUGUACCGGGGCUAAACAUAUUACCGAAGCUGUGGAGUACACCUUUAGGUGUAUUGGUAGGAGAGCGUUCUAAGGGCGUUGAAGGUAGAUCGUGAGGACUGCUGGAGCGCUUAGAAGUGAGA